RNAcentral lists this ribosomal RNA (253 nucleotides) under uncultured bacterium. Its description in RNAcentral is "partial 16S ribosomal RNA". It matches the Rfam family "Bacterial small subunit ribosomal RNA", at positions 524 to 776 of the family's 1533-position model. The record is from RNAcentral.
UACGUAGGCAGCAAGCGUUGUUCGGAAUUACUGGGCGUAAAGAGUGUGUAGGCGGUGCUCCAAGUCUGGUGUGAAAUCUCCCGGCUCAACUGGGAGGGUGCGCUAGAAACUGGAAUGCUAGAGGAUGGGAGAGGUAAGCGGAAUUCCUGGUGUAGCGGUGAAAUGCGUAGAUAUCAGGAGGAACACCUGUGGUGUAGACAGCUUACUGGACCAUUUCUGACGCUGAGACACGAAAGCGUGGGGAGCAAACAGG